CAGAGAAUAGUUUAAAUAAAAUAAUAAUUUUGGAGAUUAUAGAUAAAUUUAUAGUUUUUCUUUGA
This 65-nucleotide transfer RNA is filed under the name Brachycentrus subnubilus. RNAcentral's name for it is "tRNA-Pro". Lineage: Eukaryota; Metazoa; Arthropoda; Insecta; Trichoptera; Brachycentridae. The record is from RNAcentral.